RNAcentral lists this non-coding RNA (253 nucleotides) under uncultured bacterium. RNAcentral's name for it is "partial 16S ribosomal RNA". It matches the Rfam family "Bacterial small subunit ribosomal RNA", at positions 524 to 776 of the family's 1533-position model. The record is from RNAcentral. RNAcentral also lists the same sequence under 1 other name.
UACGUAGGGGGCGAGCGUUGUCCGGAAUGAUUGGGCGUAAAGGGCGCGUAGGCGGCCCGUUAAGUCUGGAGUGAAAGUCCCGCUUUCAAGGUGGGAAUUGCUUUGGAUACUGAUGGGCUUGAGUGCAGGAGAGGAAAGCGGAAUUACCGGUGUAGCGGUGAAAUGCGUAGAGAUCGGUAGGAACACCAGUGGCGAAGGCGGCUUUCUGGACUGAAACUGACGCUGAGGCGCGAAAGCGUGGGGAGCAAACAGG